Molecule: long non-coding RNA, 1521 nt
Filed under: Equus caballus (horse)
Lineage: Eukaryota; Metazoa; Chordata; Mammalia; Perissodactyla; Equidae
Description: lncRNA (ENSECAG00000051920.1)
Source: RNAcentral
AACCUUGCAGUUGUCUCAGGCACAUCUGACUUCAGUCACCCUGGAGCUGCUGUGGGGUCCUCAGCACCACGGCCGGAGCUGAAGGAAGAGGCCAGGCAUCUGGGGCUUCAGGGCCUGACAGAAGCGUGAGGCGUGGUGGCUUGUUUGCCACCACAGACAGUUGUCUGAAGAACUGCCAGAUUCACUUCAGGACCAGCGCCUCCGGAGGGCAGAUGAGUCUUGGGUCUCGACUUGAUCUGAGGAGACGGUUCACUGCAAACAAAAGUUUGACCAGCACUGGCCUUGUUCCAGUGACUCCCGCUCUCCCCGGGCCCUGAGACCCCACCCACCCGCAGCAGAAUUCUGGGCUGGGAGCCCCUCCCCACUUUGCUGAAUUCAACAGGGAAAACCGCUUGCCACCAUUCUUCUGCAAACCUAGUCCACAAAGAUGUUCCGGCACAUCCCUUGUAGGUCUCCAGCUGGUUCGGCAACAAAAGAAUCUUGUAUAAAAAGAACAUGAAGUUUCAAAAAGAGACUUCCAUUUACAUGGCUAAAACGGCAGCAGACACCACCAAAGUCGGGGGUACAAGGAGGCAGGCCAGCUACCCAUCGAUGCCCAGGUCCAGUGAGUGAGGCUGCCCAGCCCAGGGACAGUCACUCAAGUGUGGCCGGGCCCCCUGAGCUGUGACUGGGGAAGGAGCAAGAGGACAGCACGGCCCCUUCCGACUAGUCACCACUUACACCUCUUUAUAUAGAUGUUCCUCUGGUCCGUCCCCACUGACUAGCACGAGGGACGUGCUUAUCACCCUGCAGACAGUGGCCUCUCACUGGCCUGCCCCUGGGGGAGACAGCCUGUGGUCUCAGCCAGAAGAUGGCAGCCGACUCCCUCCCCAUGCCCUCCGUUCCUGUCUUUGGGUCCAGUUGCCCUGCCACAUGGCUCCCUGUGGCCUCAGACUCACCAAUAGAUGAGGGCUCUGCUCUCGUCAAGUUAUGUUCCAGAGAGAAAAGAGAGAAUAAACAUGAGCAGAAGUCUGCAGUGGGUUUGGGGUCAGCCUCCGGGAGAAGGUGGCUUUUUUUCCAUUAAUUGUGAUAAAAGACAUAUAACAUAAAAUUUGCCAUUGUAACCUUUUUUUUUUUUUUUUGAGGAAGAUUAACCCUGAGCUAACAUCUGCCACCAAUCCUCCUCUUUUUGCUGAGGAAGACUGGCCCUGAGCUAACAUCCGUGCCCAUCUUCCUCUACUUUAUAUGUGGGACAUCUACUACAGCAUGGCUUGACAAGCAGUGCCAUGUCCGCACCCGGGAUCCGAACUGGUGAACCCCAGGCCACCAAAGCGGAACAUGCAAACUUAACUGCUGUGCCACCGGGCUGACCGCUCCAUUUUAACCAUUUUUAAGUGAACAGUGCAGUGGCAUUAAUUACAUUCAUGAUGUUGUGAAGUCACCGCUUAUAUCUAAUUCUAGAACAUUUUCAUCUCUCCAAAGGAGACCUCGUCCCUAUGAGCAGUCACUCCCCAUCCCUUAUGCCCCCAGCCCCUGGCAACC